Paramuricea clavata is the source of this 9066-nucleotide non-coding RNA. The record is from the annotation of a GenBank genome assembly. NCBI's taxonomy places the organism in Eukaryota, Metazoa, Cnidaria, Anthozoa, Malacalcyonacea, Plexauridae.
CUCGUUUGAGCGCUUUAAAUUUUCAGAGCUUAAGAUGCGGCGCUCAUUCGGGGGCGGCGCUCAUUCGGGGGCGGCGCUCAAUCGAGUAAACACGAUACUUGUUGCGAUUUUAAUGAAUGAACAAUUUAAUUAAUUAAAGAUUUAUAUACUUGGUGUGACCCUCCUAAAAUCUCAUCAGGCCCUAGAGCGAUGAGAAAUAUUUUCUAUUAUAUAUCCAAUACUUAGUUACGCAAAGUAAAAAGCUAUAUAUAUACGGAUGUUUUUCAAUUUUAUUUAAACAAUACAGUUACGCAUUGCGAAGACGUUCAAAACUAUAAAAGUCAGUCCAAGGUAUUUACAAGGUAAUGCAUUUUGUCUUAAUUUACUCACAUACUGCGGUGAACGUAAAAAACUAGAACAGCUGUAUGAAUUUAAAUAAGUUUUAUUGUAUUUAUGAAAGGAUAACUCAAAUUUUGGUAUAUGACAUUUCAUGUAAUGUUGGCCCUGCCCAAAAUGCGUGGUGAAAACGUUUACCCUCACGCGUGCAUCGAGUCUACUUUGUUUAUCAUUUAUAUGACAAGGUUGGCAAGAUUUUUUAACGGAAAUUUAUUACGUUUACUAGAUUAUGAAUAUUUUGCAAAUUACAAGCAAAAACAAUAUGAAAUAUACAUAAUUUCAAACACUUCAUGGUAAUACGUUCUCCAUGGGUUUUAACUUCAAAAGUUCAUUGUAAGGAUGUUAAAAAAGCGCAUAGCCAGAAAUAUGCGACAUACGCGACUGCGAGGCACACGCACUUUUGUCAGCGUGUCAAGUGUUGCGCAUGAGUAAUUGAAAUAUUUUGUGAUAUACGAUCCGGAGGUUUAUCAAUAUCCCGCGGCUUUCGUCUGGCCUUUGGUUUCAUUAGGAUUGCUUAAAACCCGAGAUUUCAGCAGUAUUUAAUGAUAAAAACUUGCGCGUAUGACUUAAAAGCAUGUUUUUAAAGACAAACAAGAAACGAGCUUCAAAAAAAUAAUUUAGGAAAAGAAAUUGACCGAAAUCGCACCGAGUUAUGGCCAUGCUAUUGGAAGCAAGACGAAGGUCGAAGUUCAGUUAUCGGUCUUGGAUCCCUCUAAAGUCUAAACUACCUUUAAAACAACUAGGCAGGGACAAGGGAAGAGAAGAAUAUUUCUUCGUUUUUAUAUCAUUCAAAGCCGUAAGAACCUCAUCGAAUGUAGGAAUUUGUAUUGUCUACAACGCGCAGCGAAGGAAUCUUAUUGUAUUGCUGUAUUAGUAAUACAAUUUACUAUAAAUAUUGGGAAUCAGGCUCGGGUGAUCACUUAGUGUUGCAUGUAGAAUACUGAAUCCCUGACUUAAAUUUUUGCUUCUGCGGGAUGCUCAAAUACUCGGACAUUUUUGAGGUCUUUUGAGUAUUUGCAGUUGGCGCGUUAUUUAAAUUUCGUGGGAAAAUGCAGCAUACCGCUGCCCAGUACAGUAUUGAAGUCUCACAAACAUGAAGCCACACAACGGUUUGGUCAGUGGCGAAUAUAUAUUAUUUCAUGCUCCGAACAUAAACAAAACAUCAUGGAGUCUAUAAUUUUGAAAACGAGCUUUAAUUUGGUCUUUAAAGUUUUGAAAUACCCCAAAUAUUCGAGAAGUUAUGGCUGUUUCAAUGUGCAAGAUAUUUGCUCCUUUAGCGGAGGAUUUGCGAACGCUUUCGUGUGCGUUGAAAUAUAUUUUACGAGGGACAAACGGGAAUAAGAUAAGCGAACGAAAUAUUUAUAUAUCACGAUACUAGACAUCUUCGAGUCGCAACUUCAAGUUUCGUUUGUAAAUUUUGUCCGUUCAUUUAAUUUUUUUUGCCUGUUUUAUAGUCACUGUCGUCUACUUGACAUGUAUUAUUACAGUCACGGCCUUAUAGAGAACUGACUUUCAUAAAAUUCGCAGGGGACAAAUCGCGAUUUGUAGUAUACGGUAACUAUUUGGUGGAUAAUAUUCUCCGAUAUUUACUGUAUAAUGUCUUGCUUUCGUUUGUUCCGAUUCACAAAAAGUUUAGCUAAUAUUUUAAAUAAUUGUGCAAUUCUAAUACAAUUUCAUAUAAAAAUAUUUUAAUUAAAAGCAAUCGGAUACAUGCGCUUGAGGUGUUGCGCAAUCGCAUGUCGCGUUUUUCUGGCAAUGGGAUUCUUUUCGGAAUUUUUUUGCAAAAUUUUGUCAAAACUAUGCUGGGGUCACCUAGUCUGUGAUGAUGUCAUACACGCGUAAAAACGCACAGCUUGUAACAAGUCUGCAAACAAGUUGUUACAAGUCUGCAUGUUAACAAGUUGUGUUCGCACUGCUUGUUCCAAGUUUGUUGUAACAAGUUUGGAACACGCUGUUAACAACUUGUAACAAGCUUGAUGGCAUUAUCAGCUUGUUACAAAACUGUGCCAACAAGUUUGUUACAGCCAUUGAUAUAACAAGGAUGUUACCAGGUUGUCAACACAAGGUUGUAAAAAUCUUGUUACAUCAAGCAUGUAACCACAGAGAAGAGAUAUACAGAGGGGAAACACGCGGCAAAUUGUGUCACGCCGGUAUAUUCAGUCUAUUAUUAUAGAAAAUUAUAUUAAUUCGCUAUUUUAUUAAAUUUUGACCAUGCAGAGGAAAAAACUAUACGUAUUAUAGAAGUAAACAUGUUUUUUUUAUGCAAGAGAUAUAUUUUGAGGCAUUUAUAUCAUUUGCUGCUUUGUUUUUGAUAUAUGAGCAUCUCAAACCUUCAGCCAGUGCUUUUCACGAUUUUAAUAAGGAAUAGAUAGGGAAAUAAACAAACUUUUGCAAAAUAAAAUGUAAUGUUAACACUUUGAAUAAAAAGAAAUCAAUAAAAGUGAUCGCUUACCGUUAUUCUACAAUAAUUUAUUGAACAAAACUUCCAUGGGUAUCUCAUUUUAAAAAAAAAGCGAUUUUCACCUUUCGAACGGCGUUUUCCCUAUCUUUUGCUAUGAAAUUUCAGCGACGGCACUGGCUGGAAGAUUUUGCGUGGCGCGUGGAACCUGCGUGGACGGCGUGACACAGAAAUUCAGGUUAUCGAGGUGUCUGUUUCCUCUCUGAUAUAUCUUUACUCUGUGAUGUAACGGACUUCUCAGAAUAACCUUGCAACAAGUCUGAUAAUUUCGACAAGGUUGUUACAAGUUGUCAGCACGUUGUUCCAAACCUGUUGACAUCUUGUAACAAGCAGCGCGAAUAUAUCUUGUUAUAAUAAUAAUAAUAGCUUUAUUCAUCCAUCUUAAGAUAAAAAAGUACAAUGGACUUACAAUUACUUGUUUAAGAAAGUAUAUAUGCUGCGGAUAUGUCUUUAUAUUACAAAUUGUUGUAAGAUAAUUUAGAAAACUAACUAAGAAGUUAAAACUAAUAAAUUCUUUAAUCUAAUAAGUUCUUCUAAUAAGUUAAAACUAUUUAUACAUAUUUACAAGCUCUACCUGAAAAUGAAUGUUUAUGCCUUUCAGUUCCUGAGAAGAAUGAUAUAUUGCGAUUCCGGUCAAUGUUCCUUAAAUUGUACUGAUUGUUAAUUAAUUUUGGCAAAACACUGCGACAGGGAUGGUGUGGAUCGUUCAUAAACCUAUCAACUUCUCGACUAGUUGCCUCUUCCCUUCUUUCGUUCAACGGUGGUAGGUAAUCUUUUUCCAGGCCAAGGAUUCUUAAGCUCCUGGAUUGAACCCGCUCUAUUUCAUCUCGCAGGUAAUUAGGGAGUCCCGCCCAGACAGGUGAUGCAUACUCGAGAAUUGGUCUUAUUUUGGAUUGAUAGGUAAUAAUACCGACUUCAGCUGGUAACUGCGAUUUCCUGCAUUCUCUAAGAUGGUAAAGGCGUUUAUUUGCUUUACGUGUAAUCUCUUCAACAUGUGCGUUCCAUUUUAGAUUAUUUUGGAACGACACGCCAAGUAAUUUAAAAGCGUUGACCCUUUCUAUUAACUCAUUUCCAAUACGAAGACGUGGUGGUUCAGGUAUAGCGUCCGUGAACGAGAUCCACAUGUCCUUAGUUUUUUUAGCAUUAAUUGCCAUUUUAUUUAACACCGCCCAGUUAUUUACUUCAUUGAUAGAUUGUUGUAAAUUACUAUUAGAAUCUACGCUCACUAUUUGGUGUUGUGUGCAGUCAUCUGCAUACUUAUUCGUACUGACUUUUAGUUGUUCUGGUAAGGCGUCCUCCAAAUCAUCAAUGUAGGUAUUAAAAAGAAUGGGAGAUAUUACAGAGCCUUGCGGGACUCCGGCCGGGCAUGUUGCAAUGGAUGAUAAGGUACCAUUGAGAUUUACUUGUUGAACUCUUCCGGAAAGGAAACUUUUAAUCCAUAACCAGAAGGGUUUAUUUAUGUUCAUAGCUGCUAAUUUGUUCAAAAGAAUAUUGUGAUCCACAAGGUCGAAGGCCUUACGAAAGUCAAUGAAGGCCGCAUGAACCCCCAUUUUGCCUGUUUUUGAACAAUCAGUGGCAUUAAACCAGGUUUGGGUAGUUGAUAUUAACGCAGAGACUGUGCUUCGAUGUUGAGUAAACGCGUGCUGGUUAUUCUUAAUUUUCAGGUCUUCAAUAUUUAACUGGAGCUGGAUCUUUUCCAGGAUCUUGGCAAGAUGGGGUAAGACUGAUAUCUGGCGGAAAUCAUUGUUAAUGUCUCUCGGCGGUUGCACUUUAGGAACAGGGGAAAUUAGGGCAUGUUUGUAGAGUGAUGGAUAACAACAUUGACUUAUACUACAGCACACAAUGUCAUAAACCACAGGAGCUAGGUCUUCGUGGUAUUGUUUGAGCAUCCAUGCAGGAACCUUAUCGAUGCCAGUUGCUUUUCUUGGAUUAAGAUGUUUUAAGACCGCUUUAACUUGGCCAAUAGAAGGAAGGGGUGGUUUGUUAUUCUUAUGUGGGUGGUUCACUUCAGGUAUUUCAAAGGCGACAUUCGUGUAACGGUCCGACCAUGGUUUAGUGAAGGCUUUCUGAAGUUUUUCAGCUAAGUCGGAUAAGUCUAGGUUUUCGGGCCCGUGUGGAAAUUGGGUGUGGGUUGUGUUUUCGGCAUUUACUAAAGAGUAGAUACAGUUAUACCACUUCGAUUGAUUCGAGGUACGAAAUUCUGAGGCCUUGGACCGAUAGUAGGUGGCUUUAGCUUUAGCUAUAAGAUUUGCCACUUUCUCGCAUAGUUGUUUGUAUCUUGGCUGAUCACCACGAGAAAAGGCCUUCUGACGAGCUUUGAUUUGCAUUUUAAUAUUACCGGUGAUCCACGGUUUAUCAGAGUGAUGUACUCUGAUGGUUUUUUCAGGUAAGAACUCGUCAAGCAUCUUGAUUAUAAUGGAGUUAUAAGCUGAUACUUUCUCAUCCACAUCCAGUGCUGAAUAUACAGUAGUCCAAUCUUCAGAAGCUAUAUUCAGGGAGAGGUCAUUUAAAUUUGCUCGUUUCAUCAAUCUAAUUUUUUUUGACGUAACCGGAGUUUUCUGUCUUUUAAUGGGCUUGAUUAGAAGACAUUGGUGGUCGGAGCGUCCGAUUGGGGGGAGAUGGCUAACAGUGUCAAAGAGAGGGAGCAUAUUUGUAAGGAUUUGAUCAAGAAUGUUGUGUCCUCUAGUCGGUUUAGUUACGGAUCUUUUUAAAUUAAAUCUGUUACAUAGUUCUCUUAAUUUUAGUUGAUUGAAGUCCCCAGCUAUAACAAUUCCAGAUGAAGGACGUUCGCGCAAGAGACUAUCUAUACAAGUAGUUAAGUAUUCAUUCAUAUCGAUUGCUUGUUCGGCGGAUUGACCAGGAGGGUAGUACACAACAGCAGCAACGAUUGUACUGUAAGGUCUAGGGGUUCUUGGGGGUUUUAACAACAACCAUAUCACUUCUUUGUUUUCUUCUUCGAGGUGAGUCAUACGCUCUGCUGGUAAACAAUUAUUCACGUAGGCGAUCACUCCACCGCCAGGAGACUUUCUAUCGCGACGAAAUAUGUUGUAUUUAUUACCGAUCUUAACCGAGGAAUCACCGAUAUCAUCACUUAGCCAAGAUUCAGUUAUCAUUACCACGGAUGGGUCAUAGAUCGAUACAACAGCAGCUAAUUCGUCUACCUUAUUUGUUAUAUGGCAUACAUUUGACAAGAGGAAGGACGGGACUGAGGACUUUCCAAUGGUGGGGUUUGUAUUAGUCUUAAUGUUAAUUAAAUUAUUAAAAUUUACACUUCUCUGAGAUGUAUAAUUAUCACUUGUCCGUUGGAUUGCGCCUAAACGAGGGUUCCAAACUGGUCCAAGGUGCGGUUGACCAGCUGUAGGUAAGCUUCCCAGGACUCCGUUUCUCCAAGCUGUAACUCUGACUUUGAUUGGAAAGGAUUCACUUUGUAUGCCGGGUUGAUUUGACUUGCUCUUGUAUCUGUAUUGUCUGCUGUUGUUCUUGGUUUCGGAAUCCACCGAUAGCGACCGCUUCGAAAAAUCUUUGAGGGAAAAUUUGCUUGACGAUAUUGAUGUUUAGGUUCGGAAAACUGAUUGCGCCGGUAAUUAGGUUUCGAGAAAUGCGUUCUGUUAGUUGAGGAAUUAUGCAUUGGAUUCCUCCUAUGACGAUCCAUGUUGGCGUUUAAGGCGGCCUGAUUGCGCCGGUAAUUAGGUUUCGAGAAAUGCGUUCUGUUAGUUGGAGAAUUAUGCACUUGAUUCCUCUUAUGACGGCUUGUUGGCAGACUUGUUACAAGAUGGGAGAUUUUUACGUGUUUUAACAAGUUUUAAGUUUUUUACGUGUUUUUACAAGUUUUAACAAACUUGCAGCAGACUUGUAGCAAUGCUGUUCCAAGUUGUUCCAACAACUAGUUAUCGUCCUGCAAUUCAACAAUUUGUCAACAAGUUGUGAGUGACAAGCUUGUAGCAACUUGAUAAAAUAACAGCAUUGUUACAACUUGUUGACAAGCUUGCUGCAAACCUGUUGCGAACACAUCUUGUUGACAAGUUGUGAGAUUUUUGCGUGUGUAGACUCGAUGCACACCCGAGAGCCACGUGCGAGGGUAAAAAUGUUCACCACGCAUUUUUGGGCUGCCUAUGGAUGGUUGGCCAAGAUAUAGCCGACGGUUAUGAACCGUUUGAACUUAAUUUGAAUUCAGUUGGCACCGUAUUUACUCGUUUGAUACCGUAUUUACUCGUUUGAGCGCCGCGGCGCUCUUUAAUUUUUCAGAGCUUCAGAUGCGGCGCUCAAUCGGGGGCGGCGCUCUUUAAAAAAUAUUUUAUUUGUGAAUUAUAAGAAGAACUUUUAACAAUAAAAUAAACAAGUUUUAAAUGUUUUUGUCACUAAAUGUCCCCAUUUUGACGGGCAGAAAGUUUUUACACUAUUUAGUGCGGCGCUCAUUCGGGGGCGACGCUCUUUUAAAAAAAUUGAUCUCAAAUGCGCGGCGCUCAUUCGGGGGCGGCGCUCAUUCGGGGGCGGCGCUCAAUCAGGGGCGGCGCUCAAACGAGUAAAUACAGUACGGUAAUUUCCUGCCAGCUUUGGAACAAGGAAAAUUUGUUCAUGUGUACGGCCGCCAAGGAAAAUUUGACAAGUGCACAAGAAAUACUUCUAUGGUUUUUGGCAAACGAAAGGCGGUCAUGACGUCAGAUAAAUGUUUAACACAGGGUUCGUACAAAACUUGAAAAGUCCUUGAAUGUCCUUGAAUUUGAAAACAAAAAUUCAAGGCCUUGAAUGUCCUUGAAUUUUUAAAGAAGUACUUGAAUGUCCUUGAAUUCUUCUUGCUUUAGUUUUUGGAUAUUUUCUGAAAUUGUUUGACAUUCAAGACGGACAUUUUGUUGAACUGAUUUUGCAUGUUCAUACACCCUUUUCAUAAAUGGCUGCCGAUUAAAAAUUAUUUUAUGUGCAUAUAAAUUGGCCCAACUAGCCUCGCUUCUGGGUAGAAAUUCCUUUGAAAUCUUAACAUGAGUACGAGGCUAGUUGGGCCAAUUUAUAUGCACAUAAAAUAAUUUUUAAUCUGCAGCCAUUUGUGAAAAGGGUGUAUAUCUGACCUCAUUAUAAAGUUACGUUUUGAACAAUUCAACGUCAGAUUUUGCUGAUUUCUAACGCCUUCUCUUCAGUAUUUAGUCCUUGAAUUUGCUGAUACAUGGCCUUGAGUGUCCUUAAGAAGUCCUUGAAUUUGACUCUUCCUGACAUGUACGAACCCUGUUAACAACAUUCUGUGCACACGAGCAACAAAACUUGUCAAGGGAAAAUUGUCGAGCGUACACACGAGAAAGUAAUUUUGUCAAGGAACACGUGCUCAUCUAUAUAGAUUUAAUUCUGCAUAUAGAUAUCUUCUGGCUAGUUUAUGGAAGCAUAAAAACCAUUAGUUUAGCCUGUGUGAAUGCACGUGUUUCAAGGCUCCUCCGUUGAUAGCCUGCUAUUUAUUUUAUAGUUUACUGUAAUUGGUUAAAAUGUUUCUCAAACUGCUCGUGAUUGGUUGUCUCGUUGCCACGGAAAUGAGCUACGUCAUGUCAGCUCCGCAGGGGGAUUGCCACGUGAGAUAUUGGUGCAGUUACUUUAUGGGUGGAAGACCGGUACAGUCAAAUAUCCCGUUGCCCACAAUUGAAAUGACGAAAACACCAGAAAUCUCAAACUCGGCUGUUGGGAAAACAGAAAAUUAUCGUUUCCGGUCGAAAUUUGGAGCUUUGCUGAACGGACCAAUCAAUGAAAUUGAAAACGGUCGAAAUUGAAAGAAUUAUACGACAAGACUGCAAAAACGUAUAUAAAAUAGUUUGAAAACGCAAUUUUAUGGUAUAUUUUACAGAAAUUCAAGUUUGUAAGACCAGACACGGUUUGCAAAGUUGUGUUUGCUUCAAUUACAGAUGCAGUUGGAUAUGGAAAUAACAUGACGUUCUCUUUUUGCUGUUUAUUCUUAUGAAUAGGACUCUCUUAUUAUUCUAAAAUCAUGGUAAUAAAAUUUCAUCAUAGUGAGCUAGUGACUGUGAAUACUGCUGUUCUCCAUGUCAUCUAGACAUGAUUCAGUAUUUUAUUAUUUUGAAAAUCUCAUUGUCUUCCAUGCCAGCCAGUCUCUGCCACCCAGUCAUGACCCAAGAAUCAGAAUGUUCCAUUGUCUUUCAUUGUUUUGAAAAUCUCACUGUUGUCCAUGCCAUCCAGUCAUAAUCCAGUGAUCAGAAUGUUCCAUUGUCUUUUCAUUGUUUUGAAAAUCUCACUGUUCC